CGGAAGUAGUUCAGUGGUAGAACAUCACCUUGCCAAGGUGGGGGUCGCGGGUUCGAAUCCCGUCUUCCG
RNAcentral lists this transfer RNA (69 nucleotides) under Heyndrickxia coagulans. It matches the Rfam family "tRNA". Rfam says of the family: Transfer RNA (tRNA) molecules are approximately 80 nucleotides in length. Their secondary structure includes four short double-helical elements and three loops (D, anti-codon, and T loops). RNAcentral also lists the same sequence under 13 other names. Lineage: Bacteria; Bacillati; Bacillota; Bacilli; Caryophanales; Bacillaceae. The record is from RNAcentral.